AACUUGACGGUACUGUAAGAAUAAGGAUCGGCUAACUCCGUGCCAGCAGCCGCGGUAAUACGGAGGAUCCGAGCGUUAUCCGGAAUUAUUGGGUUUAAAGGGUUCGUAGGCGGUUAGAUAAGUCAGUGGUGAAAUUUCCUAGCUUAACUAGGGCACUGCCAUUGAUACUGUUUAACUUGAAUAGUAUGGAAGUAACUAGAAUAUGUAGUGUAGCGGUGAAAUGCUUAGAUAUUACAUGGAAUACCAAUUGCGAAGGCAGGUUACUACGUACUUAUUGACGCUGAUGAACGAAAGCGUGGGGAGCGAACAGGAUUAGAUACCCUGGUAGUCCACGCCGUAAACGAUGGAUACUAGCUGUUCGGUCUUCGGAUUGAGUGGCUAAGCGAAAGUGAUAAGUAUCCCACCUGGGGAGUACGUUCGCAAGAAUGAAACUCAAAGGAAUUGACGGGGGCCCGCACAAGCGGUGGAGCAUGUGGUUUAAUUCGAUGAUACGCGAGGAACCUUACCAGGGCUUAAAUGUAGAUUGACAGAUUUGGAAACAGAUUUUUCUUCGGACAAUUUACAAGGUGCUGCAUGGUUGUCGUCAGCUCGUGCCGUGAGGUGUCAGGUUAAGUCCUAUAACGAGCGCAACCCCUAUUGUUAGUUGCCAGCGAGUAAUGUCGGGAACUCUAGCAAGACUGCCGGUGCAAACCGUGAGGAAGGUGGGGAUGACGUCAAAUCAUCACGGCCCUUACGUCCUGGGCUACACACGUGCUACAAUGGCAAGUACAGAAAGCAGCUACCUGGCAACAGGAUGCGAAUCUCCAAAGCUUGUCUCAGUUCGGAUUGGAGUCUGCAACUCGACUCUAUGAAGCUGGAAUCGCUAGUAAUCGGAUAUCAGCCAUGAUCCGGUGAAUACGUUCCCGGGCCUUGUACACACCGCCCGUCAAGCCAUGGAAGCUGGGGGUACCUGAAGUCGGUGACCGCAAGGAGCUGCCUAGGGUAAAACUAGUAACUAGGGCUAAGUCGUAACAAGGUAGCCGUACCGGAAGGUGCGGCUGGAACACCUCCUUUCUAGA
RNAcentral lists this ribosomal RNA (1058 nucleotides) under Myroides marinus. RNAcentral describes it as "bacterial SSU rRNA". It matches the Rfam family "Bacterial small subunit ribosomal RNA", at positions 466 to 1533 of the family's 1533-position model. Lineage: Bacteria; Pseudomonadati; Bacteroidota; Flavobacteriia; Flavobacteriales; Flavobacteriaceae. The record is from RNAcentral.